This 776-nucleotide ribosomal RNA is filed under the name uncultured Anaerococcus sp. RNAcentral describes it as "SSU rRNA". It matches the Rfam family "Bacterial small subunit ribosomal RNA", at positions 55 to 834 of the family's 1533-position model. The record is from RNAcentral. Lineage: Bacteria; Bacillati; Bacillota; Tissierellia; Tissierellales; Peptoniphilaceae.
AUGCAAGUCGAACGAUGAAGCUUAAAUGAUCUCUUCGGAGUGACUUUAAGUGGAUUAGUGGCGGACGGGUGAGUAACGCGUGAGUAACCUGCCUUACACAAGGGGAUAGCCGUUGGAAACGACGAAUAAUACCCUAUGAUAUGAUAGCCUCGCAUGAAGCUAUCAUCAAAGAUUUAUCGGUGUAGGAUGGACUCGCGUCUGAUUAGCUAGUUGGUGGGGUAACAGCCUACCAAGGCAACGAUCAGUAGCCGGCUUGAGAGAGUGUACGGCCACAUUGGGACUGAGACACGGCCCAGACUCCUACGGGAGGCAGCAGUGGGGAAUUUUGCACAAUGGGGGCAACCCUGAUGCAGCGACGCCGCGUGAUUUAGAAGGCCUUCGGGUUGUAAAAAUCUUUUGUAUGGGAAGAAAAUGACAGUACCAUACGAAUAAGGACCGGCUAAUUACGUGCCAGCAGCCGCGGUAAUACGUAAGGUCCGAGCGUUGUCCGGAAUCAUUGGGCGUAAAGGGUACGUAGGCGGAUAAGCAAGUUAGAAGUGAAAUCCUAUAGCUCAACUAUAGUAAGCUUUUAAAACUGUUCAUCUUGAGGUAUGGAAGGGAAAGUGGAAUUCCUAGUGUAGCGGUGAAAUGCGCAGAUAUUAGGAGGAAUACCGGUGGCGAAGGCGACUUUCUGGCCAUAAACUGACGCUGAGGUACGAAAGCGUGGGUAGCAAACAGGAUUAGAUACCCUGGUAGUCCACGCCGUAAACGAUGAGUGUUAGGUGUCUGGAAAAAUC